CCGCGCUUUCUGGGGACGUCUCGGGAAGUUUGCUUUUUAUGCGUGGGGACGACUCCGCGUCCUUCGGAGACGACUUGCGCGCAUCCCUUGAAAUUGGUCUUUCUGCCGCCUCUGAGAGAGUCGACUCCGCAAAGUCGGGAGUCGACUCCGACCCUGCGAGACGCCUCGCCAGGUGCCGGAGACGUCUCCAGACGUGCCAAUUCUUUCUGUUCGUGCCAGAGACGUCUCUGGGACAAACCGGAGACGUCUCGGCUGUCCCUGAUCUGUUUUCUUCAUCUCAAAAAUUCUUCAAUAAAUCCUUGAAAAAUAUGGGAACUUGCCUAGACAUUUCUUAACAAUAUUCUUAAUUAAACACCUAAAAUCC
This 364-nucleotide long non-coding RNA is filed under the name Phoenix dactylifera (date palm). Its description in RNAcentral is "long non-coding RNA (PDAC_LNC018807)". Lineage: Eukaryota; Viridiplantae; Streptophyta; Magnoliopsida; Arecales; Arecaceae. The record is from RNAcentral.